This 382-nucleotide long non-coding RNA is filed under the name Mytilus galloprovincialis (Mediterranean mussel). Lineage: Eukaryota; Metazoa; Mollusca; Bivalvia; Mytilida; Mytilidae. The record is from RNAcentral.
UUUAAUUCACUCUUUGUAUUGUAAAUGUUCUGUCUUUUCCUGACGUAAUAUAUAGAUAUAAAUAAGAGUGGAAACCGGGAAUGUGUCAAAGAGACCCGAUCACAGAGUAAACAACAGCCAAUGUCUUCAGUGGGUGUUCAUAACAGAUAGUAAAUUCCACAUCCAUAGGCGGACUUUAACUGGCCCUUUCAUACUUAUGUACGCUAGUCAAGCAAAAACGGACGUAAGCCUAAACUCCGAAACAUAUAAAUAAACCAAAAUUUGAACACAAAAUGCGGUUGUGUUAAACAUGUUUUGUGAGCUCUCAACCUCCCUACUCCUCUAAUUGUUAUUGCUUUACAUAUAUUAUCCAACAUUUUGUCGAUACCUGUAUUUGUCUCUG